Molecule: ribosomal RNA, 1935 nt
Filed under: human gut metagenome
Description: bacterial LSU rRNA
Rfam family: Bacterial large subunit ribosomal RNA
Source: RNAcentral
GUGCUAACGUCCGGACUCAAAAGGGAAACAACCCAGACCGCCGGCUAAGGUCCCAAAUAACAGCUAAGUGGAAAACGAAGUGGAAAGGCCGUGACAACCAGGAAGUUGGCUUAGAAGCAGCCAUCCUUCAAAGAAAGCGUAAUAGCUCACUGGUCGAGUCCUUCUGCGCGGAAGAUGUAACGGGGCUAAGCUGUUAACCGAAGCCGCGGAUGCACUGAUUAUUCAGUGCGUGGUAGGGGAGCGUUCUGUAAGUCUGCGAAGGCGGUUCGAGAGGACUGCUGGAGAUAUCAGAAGUGCGAAUGCUGACAUGAGUAACGUUAAAGCAGGUGAAAAGCCUGCUCGCCGUAAGCCCAAGGAUUCCUGCUCUACGUUCAUCGGAGCAGGGUGAGUCGGCUCCUAAGGUCAGGCCGAAAGGCGUAGCCGAUGGGAAUCAGGUUAAUAUUCCUGAACCUGCGUCAGAUGCGAUGGGGGGACGGAGCAUGAAAGAUCAUCCGGGUGUUGGAUGUCCCGGUUGACGAGCGUAGGAGGUCUGCAGGCAAAUCCGCAGACGCAUCUCCAAGGCAAAGACACGUGCCGCCACGGCGGCGAAGUGAUCGGAAGUGCUUCCAAGAAAAGCCUCUAAGCACCAGUCUGACGCGGACCGUACCGCAAACCGACACUGGUGGGCGAGCUGAAUAUGCUCAGGCGCUUGAGAGAACUCGGGAGAAGGAACUCGGCAAAUUGACACCGUAACUUCGGAAGAAGGUGUGCCGUAGUACCGUGAGAGGAGAGACACCUUGAGCGGGAAACGGUCUCAGAGAAUAGGUGGCUGCGACUGUUUAUUAAAAACACAGCACUCUGCAAAGUCGAAAGACGACGUAUAGGGUGUGAUGCCUGCCCGGUGCUGGAAGAUUAAUUGAUGGGGUGAGAGCCCUUGAUCGAAGUCCCAGUAAACGGCGGCCGUAACUAUAACGGUCCUAAGGUAGCGAAAUUCCUUGUCGGGUAAGUUCCGACCUGCACGAAUGGCAUAACGAUGGCCACACUGUCUCCUCCCGAGACUCAGUGAAGUUGAAAUGUUUGUGAUGAUGCAAUCUACCCGCGGCUAGACGGAAAGACCCCAUGAACCUUUACUGCAGCUUUGCAUUGAACUGUGAACCGAUUUGUGUAGGAUAGGUGGGAGGCAGAGAAGAGGCCACGCCAGUGGUCUUGGAGCCGACCUUGAAAUACCACCCUGAUUUGUUUGCGGUUCUAACCACGGACAGUGAUCCUGUCUUGGGACCGUGCAUGGUAGGCAGUUUGACUGGGGCGGUCUCCUCCUAAAGGGUAACGGAGGAGUACGAAGGUACGCUAGGUACGGUCGGAAAUCGUGCUGAUAGUGCAAUGGCAAAAGCGUGCUUGACUGCGAGAGCAACAACUCGAGCAGAUGCGAAAGCAGGUCAUAGUGAUCCGGUGGCUCUGAAUGGAAGGGCCAUCGCUCAACGGAUAAAAGGUACUCUGGGGAUAACAGGCUGAUACCGCCCAAGAGUUCAUAUCGACGGCGGUGUUUGGCACCUCGAUGUCGGCUCAUCUCAUCCUGGGGCUGUAGUCGGUCCCAAGGGUAUGGCUGUUCGCCAUUUAAAGAGGUACGUGAGCUGGGUUUAAAACGUCGUGAGACAGUUUGGUCCCUAUCUGCCGUGGGCGUUGGAAGAUUGACGGGGGCUGCUCCUAGUACGAGAGGACCGGAGUGGACGCACCUCUGGUGUACCGGUUGUCACGCCAGUGGCAUUGCCGGGUAGCUAAGUGCGGAAGAGAUAACCGCUGAAAGCAUCUAAGCGGGAAACUUGCCUGAAGAUGAGUCUUCCCGGAGGUAAAACCUCCCUCAAGAGUCGUCCGAGACCAGGACGUCGAUAGGUCAGGUGUGUAAGCGCUGUAAGGCGUUGAGCUAACUGAUACUAAUUGCUCGUGAGGCUUGAUCCU